RNAcentral lists this ribosomal RNA (761 nucleotides) under uncultured bacterium. RNAcentral describes it as "bacterial SSU rRNA". It matches the Rfam family "Bacterial small subunit ribosomal RNA", at positions 28 to 776 of the family's 1533-position model. The record is from RNAcentral.
AUUGAACGCUGGCGGCAGGCUUAACACAUGCAAGUCGAACGGUAACAGGAAGAAAGCUUGCUUUCUUUGCUGACGAGUGGCGGACGGGUGAGUAAUGCUUGGGAAUCUGCCUUAUGGAGGGGGAUAACUACGGGAAACUGUAGCUAAUACCGCGUAAUAUCUUCGGAUUAAAGUGUGGGACCUUCGGGCCACAUGCCAUAAGAUGAGCCCAAGUGAGAUUAGGUAGUUGGUGAGGUAAAGGCUCACCAAGCUGACGAUCUCUAGCUGGUUUGAGAGGAUGAUCAGCCACACUGGAACUGAGACACGGUCCAGACUCCUACGGGAGGCAGCAGUGGGGAAUAUUGCACAAUGGGCGCAAGCCUGAUGCAGCCAUGCCGCGUGAAUGAAGAAGGCUUUCGGGUUGUAAAGUUCUUUCAGCGAUGAGGAAGGUGCAUUAUCUAAUAGGUGAUGUAAUUGACGUUAGUCGCAGAAGAAGCACCGGCUAACUCCGUGCCAGCAGCCGCGGUAAUACGGAGGGUGCGAGCGUUAAUCGGAAUAACUGGGCGUAAAGGGCACGCAGGCGGUUGUCUAAGUCAGAUGUGAAAGCCCCGAGCUUAACUUGGGAAUUGCAUUUGAGACUGGGCGACUAGAGUCCUCUAGGGAGGGGUAGAAUUCCACGUGUAGCGGUGAAAUGCGUAGAGAUGUGGAGGAAUACCGAAGGCGAAGGCAGCCCCUUGGAGAGAGACUGACGCUGAGGUGCGAAAGCGUGGGUAGCAAACAGG